CGCAAGCCUGACGGAGCAAGACCGCGUGGGGGAGGAAAGCCUUUGGGUUGUAAACCCCUUUUCUCAGGGAAGAAGAAAGUGACGGUACCUGAGGAAUCAGCCUCGGCUAACUCCGUGCCAGCAGCCGCGGUAAUACGGAGGAGGCAAGCGUUAUCCGGAAUGAUUGGGCGUAAAGCGUUCGUAGGUGGCAAUUCAAGUCUGCUGUUAAAGGCCGAGGCUUAACUUCGGUUGAGCAGUGGAAACUGAUUAGCUAGAGUGCGAUAGGGGUAGAGGGAAUUCCCAGUGUAGCGGUGAAAUGCGUAGAGAUCGGGAAGAACACCGGUGGCGAAAGCGCUCUGCUGGGCCGCAACUGACACUGAGGGACGAAAGCUAGGGGAGCG
RNAcentral lists this ribosomal RNA (380 nucleotides) under uncultured cyanobacterium. Its description in RNAcentral is "bacterial SSU rRNA". It matches the Rfam family "Bacterial small subunit ribosomal RNA", at positions 376 to 770 of the family's 1533-position model. Lineage: Bacteria; Bacillati; Cyanobacteriota. The record is from RNAcentral.